Long non-coding RNA from Ailuropoda melanoleuca (giant panda), 525 nucleotides. RefSeq lists it as uncharacterized. The record is from RefSeq and is a predicted model, not a curated record. The transcript has 3 exons. Lineage: Eukaryota; Metazoa; Chordata; Mammalia; Carnivora; Ursidae.
UUCCUGUUUCAAAUUCAUGGACAGCAGCACCGGGUCUGAUUUUCUCAGGGGGCCAAAAUGCCUCCUUAAUAGGGGCCAUAAGCUUAUGUGCUGGAAUGUGGACUAGCAGUUAAAGAGUACAAUGUACAGUUCCUCAGGUGGAUGACUGUUGUAAAACAUUUUCCUUAGAGGUUUCUGCUCUCAUUACAAAUUGAGGAGUGUACUCCAAAAUGAUGAACUACGCCUCAUGUCUUGGUUUGGAUUUCCCCCAAAUCAGACCCUGUAAUGGUUAAUUUUAUGGAUCAACUUAACUGAACCAUGGAGUGCCUGGAUAUUUGGCCAAACUUAUCCUGGAACCUUGGGGAGAAAGUAUUAUUACUUCCAUUGAACAGAUGGGGAAGCUAAUGGUUGAAGAGAGGAAGUAACUUUCCCAAGCCAAGGAGAACUCAAGGUAACAAAGAAGGAACAACAGAACACUCUCAUUUCCCAACCUCUAAUGAAGUAAUGGAUCAAAGUCAUGAUCAUCAAUAGCUGCUAAAAACAAUA